ACGAUUUCGAAAAUACAAAGAAAAACAUUCAUCAUAUUAAAGGUUACCUUUUUAUUUUAUUUUAUCUUCUUUUUCUCUCAUUUUUGCUUGAUAUUCGCCUUAAGUUUUGAAAGAAAAAUACGAAAAGAGGGGUAGAAAAUUACCUAACCUACGGCGGCCAAGGUUUGCCAUUUCCAAUGAAAAAUGGCAUCUCAGGGGGUUUGAAUUUGAAAAGCCAAGAAAAAUGGCUCUUUUUUUAUUUUCUGGCCACUGUAUACGGCGGCACCGUCGUCGGUGACCGGCGGCCGCCAUGAUGGUCCGACAAUCGGGGCUUGGCCGGCCGAAACCUGAAACAGAGAGAAAUGGAGCAUUUUUGAAGUUUUUUUUCUAAAUAGGGUAAAAAUGAUUUUUUGUUGGAUUUUUUUUACAUUUAUAAAACAAUGAAACGUUGCCGUUUUGAGCUUGAGUCCCCUAAUGCCAAAACGACUUCGUUUUGGUAUGAAACGGAUCGACCCAACCCGCUCCAACAGGAUCCACGUGUUUUCUAAACAAUGGUCUUAUUGCGCUUUUGGUCCUUUCGCAAUUUCUAUCUUUUCAAUAUGGUUCAUUUUUAUUUUCAAUUUUUACCCCAUGAUCUUUUUUAUCGCAAUUAGGUCCUCCUUGAUACUGUGCGUUUUGGAGGGCAGGAUUAUUUCCCAGUUUGGUCGCUCCUUGUUAUACACGCGUUUAGAUUGAUCCUCUCUCUUUUUAUUUGUUUCGAAUUCGCCCCAAAUCUCUGUUUUAAAGUUUAAUUUAGUCUUUUUUUUGUUAUUUUGGUUAUUUCGUUAUUAAAUUAGUUAUUUUAAAAUUAUUGUCACUAUUAUUAUAUUUUCUUUUUUUGUUUCAUUAAUAUUAUUUGCUACUUUAGUUACUUUUGUUUUAUUUGCUUAUAUUCUUUUCGUAAUUUCCAACCAAAUUGUUUUAUUUAUUAUCC
RNAcentral lists this long non-coding RNA (952 nucleotides) under Gossypium barbadense (sea-island cotton). Its description in RNAcentral is "long non-coding RNA (GBAR_LNC000268)". Lineage: Eukaryota; Viridiplantae; Streptophyta; Magnoliopsida; Malvales; Malvaceae. The record is from RNAcentral.